Molecule: transfer RNA, 85 nt
Filed under: Candidatus Omnitrophota bacterium
Lineage: Bacteria; Pseudomonadati; Candidatus Omnitrophota
Description: tRNA-Leu
Rfam family: tRNA
About the family: Transfer RNA (tRNA) molecules are approximately 80 nucleotides in length. Their secondary structure includes four short double-helical elements and three loops (D, anti-codon, and T loops).
Source: RNAcentral
GCGGAGAUGGUGGAAUUGGCAGACACGCAGGUCUCAGAAGCCUGUGCCGCAAGGCAUGGGGGUUCAACUCCCCCUCUCCGCACCA